This 3854-nucleotide long non-coding RNA is filed under the name Sus scrofa (pig). RNAcentral's name for it is "lncRNA (ENSSSCG00000058677.1)". The record is from RNAcentral. Lineage: Eukaryota; Metazoa; Chordata; Mammalia; Artiodactyla; Suidae.
GUAGCAUUAGUAGUUGAGUACUUCUCUUUUGGAAUAACUAGAAGCUAUUGCUUUGUAUUCUUGAUAUUUGUAACGUCAGCCAAAAAUGAGACAGAAAAGACAAAUUUUACAUCCUAUAAAUGAGAGAACUUGGAACAGGAAGAAAAAAAAAUCGACUCCAUUCAUUUCGAAUAAGAGAAAAUUAAUAACCCUAGAGUCAAAAGGGGCUGAUAUUGAUUCUGCUAUCACAAAACGCUGGUCCUAUUUUAGAGUAUAGGAUUUUAUAUAGCCAUCCUCUUCAUCAUCAUGUAACAUUUAAUGAUCUCCUGGGCUGAACAUAAUGAUUCCGAACAAUCCUGGAACCAAAGCCAUGUCAUCAUCUCAAUACUUGCAAAUGGUCAGAGAAAACAAAGAAUUGUCAGGAUUACCAGUGGAUGGUGAUGUCCAGGGGAAACAUGGAAUACAUAAAUCACUCAUACUAGCCUUUUCAUGUACUGCUAUAGCGGUCCUUAUCAAGCUGGAUCAAGAUAGAGAGAUAAUAUCCUAAUUAUUGCACCUCCCAGCCUAUCCUCUAAAGGAUAAAGCAAGAAAAAAAUAAGACACAGAGAGAAGUCUUUUCUUAAAAUAAAUUUUGGCCACUUCAAGUACUAAAUAUUAGAGAAAAACAAAUACUUGGCAUAGUAUUCAUAUCUGGAAACUGGCUUCUUACCACAAAUACUGCAAACUUAUAAAAAUAGAGCCAUUGAAAACAAAAGAGAUUCAAACUGACAGCAAGUAUGCCUGAUGUUUCCUUGAAAGGCUAUCUCCAUCCAGCAAAGAUAAAUCAAUAUUUUUUGUUCAAUAUUUGAAAUGUGUGAGUAAAGAAAGCAGUGUAGCCUCCCAGCAAAUGUAAAGGAACAAAAAUUUUGAAGUAGAAUAGAUUUAGCAGGCUGUAUAAUAAGUCACAUUCAAGCCAUGUACUGCAUAAUGUCUGCCAAUAUAUAACUACAAUAAUCUACAACAAUUACUACCUUAUAUCAAUGUCCAUUAACUCUAAUUCUUUUAACAAAGCAGUAAUAUGGAUGUUAUUCUGCCUCCCUUACAUGUGAGUAAAUUGAACCUAUUCAAAGGACAUGUAUUCAGAAGCUGCUAUACAUCAGGCAAAAUAUUAGGUGCCAGAGGUGUCAUGAACAAUUCAUAACCUGUCACAGAAUUUUGGGUAACAUCCAUUAAAAUGGAGGGAGAAAGAUAAAAUACAUGAAAACAACUGCAUUUUUAAAUUGCAAACGUGAUAUGUUGUGAUGUAUAAACAGUGUUUGAGAGAAAAAAUUGUAACAGAUUACUUGAUCAUAACUCAAUGCAAACAAUAUCAAAUACUCUGGAAAAAUUGAAGAAAUGGUAUUACAGAAUCAAAGAGCUAGCAAAAGUGCAAGGCAUUAUCAGGAUAUGUAGGGAUAAAAAAGAAGAAAAAAGGAAAGAAAAGAGAAGAAAAUAAAAUACAUAAAAAGUAAAAUGGGAACCAAGGAAGUUACAUGAAUAAGGGUGCUAGUUUUUCAUUACUUCUUAUUUCCAUUAUUAUGUAAAACUAUUAAAAGCAAAGUUAAAAGAUAACUUUUCCCUAGAUGGUUUCAUAGGGCUAGAACAGAAAUCACAACCCAGCACUGACAUGGAAUGAAUAGUAUGACAGGACCCAAAAUCCUAGGAACAUCGAAGACAACAUAUUCAAGAUGAGACUCAAUAAGAUAAGGACUAAUCCUUAGGAAGAAUUGUAACCAGGGCUCAAAAUGCAUCUCAAACCUUGAAUUUGUUUUAAGAUAAAACUGGAGUUCCCGCCAUGGCGCAGUGGUUAACGAAUCCGACUAGGAACCAUGAGGUUGCAGGUUCGGUCCCUGCCCUUGCUCAGUGGGUUAAUGAUCCGGCGUUGCAGCGAGCUGUGGUGUAGGUCACAGACGCGGCUCGGAUCCCGCGUUGCUGUGGCUCUGGCGUAGGCUUUGAUUGGACCCCUAGCCUGGGAACCUCCAUAUGCCACCGGAGCGGCCCAAGAAAUAGCAAAAAGACAAAAAAUAAUAAUAAUAAUAAUAAAAGUCUUAAAAAAAAAACUGAACUAGCACAUCCUUUAGGAAUCUGGGGGAAGCAAAUUAAAAUCCUCCUUGGAGUAAGAUAUUUAUUCAAAUUAUUCCUACAAAUAAUUUUCAUAUGAAAUGACCAGUGAUGGUAAAUGGGAUUGUUUCCGUAAUUUCUCUUUCUGAUCUUUCAUUGUUAAUGUUUAGGAAUGCAGGAGGUUUCUUUGUAUUAAUUUUGUAUCCUGUAAUUUUCUCAAAUUCAUUGAUGAGCUCUGGUGGUUUUCUGAUAGCAUCUUUAAUAUUUUCUCUGUAUAAUAUCAAUGUCUUCUACAAACAGUGACCGUUUUACUUUUUUUUCCAAUGUGGAUUCUUUUCCUUUGAUUACCAUGGCUAGAACUUCCAAAACUAUGUUGAAUAAAAGUGGUGGAAGUGGACAUCCCUGUCUUUUUCCUGAUAUUAGAGGAAACACAUUCAGAUUUUCACCACUGAGAAUGACGUUAGCUGAGGAUUUGUCAAAUAUGACCUUUAUUACGUUGAGGUAUGUCCCUCAUAUGCCCACUUUCUGGAUAGUUUCUUUUUUUAUCAUAAAUAGGUGUUGAAUUUUGUCAAAACCUUUUUCUUCAUCUAUCAAGAUGAUCAUAUGUUUUUAUUCUUCAGUCUGUUAAUUCGGCGUACAUACAAUCUGAUUUGCAAUGAUUUUCAGAUUCUGGAGAAUCCUUGCCUCCUAAGGAUAAAUCUACUUGAUCAUGAUAUAUGAUCCUUUUAAAGUAUUGUUGGAUUCAGUUUGCUGGUACUAUGUUGAGGAUUUUUGCAACUGUGUUCAUCAGUGAUAUUGGCCUGUAAAUUUUUUGUGCGAUAUAUUUUGUUUUAGUCAUAGGGUGAUUGUGGCCUCAUAGAAUGAGCUUGGGAGUAUUCCUUUUUCUGCAAUUUUUGGAAGACUUUCAGAAGGAUAGGUGUUAACUCUUCUUUACAUGUUUUAUAGAAUACACCUGUGAAACCAUCUGGUCCUGGACUUUUUUCUUUUGGAAAUUUGUUAAUCACGGUUUCAAUUUCAGUAUUUGUGAUUGGUCUGUUCAUUUUUUCCUCUUGCUUCAUGGUUCAGUCUUGGAAGAUUUUAUAAGAAUUUAUCCAUUUCUUAUAGAUUGUCCAUUUUAUUGGCAUAUAGUUGUUUGUAGUAGUCUUUAUGAUCCUUUGUAUUUCUGUGGUGUCAGUUGUAACUUCUUUUUCAAUUCUAAUUUUAUUGAUUUGAACCAUCUCCCUUUUUUUCUUGAUAAGACUGGCUAAAAGUUCAUCACUUCUCUUUAUAUUUUAGUUUCACUGACCUUUUGUAUUGUUUUCUUCCUAUUUCAUUUAUUUCUGCUCUAUUCUUUAUGAUUUUCCCUUCUACUAACUUUGAGUUUUGUUUUUCUUUUUCUAGUACUUUAGGUGUAAGAUAGGUUGUUUACUUGAGAUUUUUCUUGUUUCCUGAGGUAAUAUUGUAUUGCUAUAAAUUUCCCUUUUAGGACUCCUUUUGCCGCAUCCCAGAGAUUGUGGACUGUUGUGUUUUCUUUAAUUUUUUCUCUAGUUUUUUUUGUUGUUGUUGCUUUUUUUGUCUUUUUUAAGGGCCACAUCCACUGCAUAUGGAGGCUCCCAGGCUAGGGGUCGAAUCAGAGCUGUAGCAGCUGGCCUACCCCAUAGCCACAGCAGUGUGGGAUCCAAGCAGUAUCUGUGACCUACACCAUAGCUCACAGCAAUGCCGGAUCCUUAACCCACUGAGUGAGGCCAAGGAUCGAACCCACAUCCUCAUGGAUGCUAGUCAGGUUUGUUGACUGCUGAGACACAAUGGGAACUCCU